This 599-nucleotide ribosomal RNA is filed under the name Trichoderma harzianum. Its description in RNAcentral is "eukaryotic LSU rRNA". The stretch from base 223 to 376 matches the Rfam family "5.8S ribosomal RNA". Lineage: Eukaryota; Fungi; Ascomycota; Sordariomycetes; Hypocreales; Hypocreaceae. The record is from RNAcentral.
UGACCUGCGGAGGGAUCAUUACCGAGUUUACAACUCCCAAACCCAAUGUGAACGUUACCAAACUGUUGCCUCGGCGGGAUCUCUGCCCCGGGUGCGUCGCAGCCCCGGACCAAGGCGCCCGCCGGAGGACCAACCAAAACUCUUAUUGUAUACCCCCUCGCGGGUUUUUUUAUAAUCUGAGCCUUCUCGGCGCCUCUCGUAGGCGUUUCGAAAAUGAAUCAAAACUUUCAACAACGGAUCUCUUGGUUCUGGCAUCGAUGAAGAACGCAGCGAAAUGCGAUAAGUAAUGUGAAUUGCAGAAUUCAGUGAAUCAUCGAAUCUUUGAACGCACAUUGCGCCCGCCAGUAUUCUGGCGGGCAUGCCUGUCCGAGCGUCAUUUCAACCCUCGAACCCCUCCGGGGGGUCGGCGUUGGGGAUCGGCCCUGCCUUGGCGGUGGCCGUCUCCGAAAUACAGUGGCGGUCUCGCCGCAGCCUCUCCUGCGCAGUAGUUUGCACACUCGCAUCGGGAGCGCGGCGCGUCCACAGCCGUUAAACACCCAACUUCUGAAAUGUUGACCUCGGAUCAGGUAGGAAUACCCGCUGAACUUAAGCAUAUCAAA